GACGAACGCUGGCGGCGUGCUUAACACAUGCAAGUCGAACGGAAAGGCCCUGCUUUUGUGGGGUGCUCGAGUGGCGAACGGGUGAGUAACACGUGAGUAACCUGCCCUUGACUUUGGGAUAACUUCAGGAAACUGGGGCUAAUACCGGAUAGGAGCUCCUGCUGCAUGGUGGGGGUUGGAAAGUUUCGGCGGUUGGGGAUGGACUCGCGGCUUAUCAGCUUGUUGGUGGGGUAGUGGCUUACCAAGGCUUUGACGGGUAGCCGGCCUGAGAGGGUGACCGGCCACAUUGGGACUGAGAGACGGCCCAGACUCCUACGGGAGGCAGCAGUGGGGAAUAUUGCACAAUGGGCGGAAGCCUGAUGCAGCAACGCCACGUGCGGGAUGACGGCCUUCGGGUUGUAAACCGCUUUCGCCUGUGACGAAGCGUGAGUGACGGUAAUGGGUAAAGAAGCACCGGCUAACUACGUG
Molecule: ribosomal RNA, 468 nt
Filed under: uncultured bacterium
Lineage: Bacteria
Description: partial 16S ribosomal RNA
Rfam family: Bacterial small subunit ribosomal RNA
Source: RNAcentral